CAGUAGCCACGGGAAUACAGAGGGUGCAAGCGUUAAUCGGAAUUACUGGGCGUAAAGCGCGCGUAGGUGGUUCGCCAAGUUGGAUGUGAAAUCCCCGGGCUCAACCUGGGAACUGCAUCCAAAACUGGCGAGCUAGAGUAUGGUAGAGGGUGGUGGAAUUUCCUGUGUAGCGGUGAAAUGCGUAGAUAUAGGAAGGAACAUCAGUGGCGAAGGCGACCACCUGGACUGAUACUGACACUGAGGUGCGAAAGCGUGGGGAGCAAACAGGAUUAGAUACCCCAGUAGUCCCUGUCUCUUAUAA
This 301-nucleotide ribosomal RNA is filed under the name uncultured bacterium. Its description in RNAcentral is "partial 16S ribosomal RNA". It matches the Rfam family "Bacterial small subunit ribosomal RNA", at positions 509 to 809 of the family's 1533-position model. The record is from RNAcentral.